GAGUACACUCUAAACCCUUUAACGAGGAUCAAUUGGAGGGCAAGUCUGGUGCCAGCAGCCGCGGUAAUUCCAGCUCCAAUAGCGUAUAUUAAAGUUGUUGCGGUUAAAAAGCUCGUAGUCGAAUUUGUGUCCCGCGCCGCCGGUUCAUCGCUCGCGGUGUCAACUGGCGUGUCCGCGGGACGUCCUGCCGGUGGGCUUAGCCCCUGUGGGCGGCCCAAUCUCAAUCCCACCGCGGUGCUCUUCACUGAGUGUCGAGGUGGGCCGGCACGUUUACUUUGAACAAAUUAGAGUGCUUAAAGCAGGCUAAAACAUCGCCUGAAUACUGUGUGCAUGGAAUAAUGGAAUAGGACCUCGGUUCUAUUUUGUUGGUUUUCGGAACCCCGAGGUAAUGAUUAAUAGGAACGGAUGGGGGCAUUCGUAUUGCGACGUUAGAGGUGAAAUUCUUGGAUCGUCGCAAGACGGACAGAAGCGAAAGCAUUUGCCAAAAACGCUUUCAUUGAUCAAGAACGAAAGUUAGAGGUUCGAAGGCGAUCAGAUACCGCCCUAGUUCUAACCAUAAACGAUGCCAGCUAGCGAUCCGCGACGUUCCUCCGAUGACUCGGCGGGCAGCUUCCGGGAAACCAAAGCUUUUGGGUUCCGGGGGAAGUAUGGUUGCAAAGCUGAAACUUAAAGGAAUUGACGGAAGGGCACCACCAGGAGUGGAGCUGCGGCUUAAUUUGACUCAACACGGGAAACCUCACCAGGCCCGGACACCGGAAGGAUUGACAGAUUGAGAG
Molecule: ribosomal RNA, 776 nt
Filed under: Copris confucius
Lineage: Eukaryota; Metazoa; Arthropoda; Insecta; Coleoptera; Scarabaeidae
Description: SSU rRNA
Rfam family: Eukaryotic small subunit ribosomal RNA
Source: RNAcentral